GCACUGCUGACGAGUCCCACAAUAGGACGAAACGGCUUUCCAGUUC
Molecule: non-coding RNA, 46 nt
Filed under: Schistosoma mansoni
Lineage: Eukaryota; Metazoa; Platyhelminthes; Trematoda; Strigeidida; Schistosomatidae
Source: RNAcentral